GCGUCGGUGGUUCAGUGGUAGAAUACUCGCCUGCCACGCGGGUGGCCCGGGUUCGAUUCCCGGCCGACUUCGAAUUCCCGCG
This 82-nucleotide transfer RNA is filed under the name Rhipicephalus microplus (southern cattle tick). RNAcentral describes it as "tRNA-Gly". The stretch from base 1 to 71 matches the Rfam family "tRNA". Rfam says of the family: Transfer RNA (tRNA) molecules are approximately 80 nucleotides in length. Their secondary structure includes four short double-helical elements and three loops (D, anti-codon, and T loops). Further hydrogen bonds mediate the characteristic L-shaped molecular structure. tRNAs have two regions of fundamental functional importance: the anti-codon, which is responsible for specific mRNA codon recognition, and the 3' end, to which the tRNAs corresponding amino acid is attached (by aminoacyl-tRNA synthetases). tRNAs cope with the degeneracy of the genetic code in two manners: having more than one tRNA (with a specific anti-codon) for a particular amino acid; and 'wobble' base-pairing, i.e. permitting non-standard base-pairing at the 3rd anti-codon position. The record is from RNAcentral. Lineage: Eukaryota; Metazoa; Arthropoda; Arachnida; Ixodida; Ixodidae.